UACGAACUGUGCAAACGUUAUUCGGAAUCACUGGGCUUAAAGGGUGCGUAGGCGGCUUAUCAAGUAGGGUGUGAAAGCCCCCGGCUUAACCGGGGAAUUGCGCCCUAAACUGACGAGCUAGAGUGGGACAGGGGUGUGUGGAACUUCCGGUGGAGCGGUGAAAUGUGUUGAUAUCGGAAGGAACGCCGGUGGCGAAAGCGACACACUGGGUCUCAACUGACGCUGAGGCUCGAAAGCCAGGGGAGCAAACGGG
This 253-nucleotide ribosomal RNA is filed under the name uncultured bacterium. RNAcentral describes it as "partial 16S ribosomal RNA". It matches the Rfam family "Bacterial small subunit ribosomal RNA", at positions 524 to 776 of the family's 1533-position model. The record is from RNAcentral.